GGGGGGGGGGGGGGGGGGGGGUGGGGGGGGGGGGGGGGGGGGGGGGGGGGGGGUCGGGGGGUGGGCGGGUGGCGGGCGGGGGGGUGACGGGUGGGGCGCGUGGCCUUGGGUUUGGGGUAACUUCAGGACGCUGGGGCUAAUACCGGAUAGGAGCUCCUGCUGCCUGUUGGGGGUUGGAAGGUUUCGGCGGUGGGGGAUGGACUGGCGGUUUAUCAGCUUGGUUGUGGGGUAGUGGCUUACCAAGGCUUUGACGGGUAGCCGGCCUGAGAGGGUGACCGGCCACAUUGGGACUGCGAUACGGCCCAGACUCCUACGGGAGGCAGCAGUGGGGAAGAUUGCACAAGGGGUGGAAGCCUGAUGCAGCAACGCCGUGUGCGGGAUGACGGCCUUCGGGUUGUAAACCGCUUUCGCUCAUGACGAAGCUUUGUGUGACGGUAGUGGGUAAAGAAGCACCGGCUAACUACGUG
This 467-nucleotide ribosomal RNA is filed under the name uncultured bacterium. RNAcentral's name for it is "partial 16S ribosomal RNA". The stretch from base 54 to 467 matches the Rfam family "Bacterial small subunit ribosomal RNA", at positions 39 to 507 of the family's 1533-position model. The record is from RNAcentral.